This is a non-coding RNA of Cyanistes caeruleus (blue tit), 755 nucleotides long. The record is from RefSeq and is a predicted model, not a curated record. NCBI's taxonomy places the organism in Eukaryota, Metazoa, Chordata, Aves, Passeriformes, Paridae.
AGUGAAGAAAACAAUUUCCUUCAUCGGUUUAUUGGGGUUUUUUGAAAUCAAGAACAGUUGCAGCACGGCAAAUACAGUUUUAAAUACCAAUGUUACUGCAUGAAAAAGAUGAUUCACAUGUAAUUGGUCCAUAUUGAGAUCCAUUGACUUGUGACUUGGUAUGCCGCUUCCCCUGUAUGCUGCAACUAGAGUCACUCACACUCUUCUUCAAAACCAGCCUGUUGUGAAGCAGCAAAGCUGUGCUUGUGUGCUCUAGGACUAUGAAGAAAGAAGAUUUUACCCAGAAGCAAGUAUGUGACAGUGGCCCAGAUCAUCACAAGCCAGCAGCUUAUGUGACACACGUGCAUUCCAUGUUGGACAGUUCUCAAAAUCAUAAUAGCAGUUUACAAAAAUUAUAUAACACCAGGAAUUGUUCUCUCCAUAAUACUAUACCUCUGUCUUCUGUUGGCAAGGAAAUGCCUCUGAGUUUCAGUGAAUCAGCAGGGAUGAAUUCAAGUGCAGCUGCUCCUUGGAAGGAUUCAUUUCAUCUGCAUUUUUCUUCUGGGAAAGACAGUCUCGAGAGGGCUUCUCACUGCAUUGGUGGCCUUUCAGUAACAGGCUGGCUGGAAGAAGCUUGUAGCAUUUCUGGAGACUUCAGCUCAUGCUGCCCAGGAGAUAACUUCGUAUGUUUUGCACAAUUCUGGCUGGGAAAUUUGCAGUGUAAUAAAAACCUGUGGUUUCUGGAAUUAGAAAUGAGCAGUAGCAAAGAGAAUGAA